UUAUACCGUGAAACUGCGAAUGGCUCAUUAAAUCAGUUAUCGUUUAUUUGAUAGUACCUUACUACUUGGAUAACCGUGGUAAUUCUAGAGCUAAUACAUGCUGAAAACCCCAACUUCGGGAGGGGUGUAUUUAUUAGAUAAAAAACCAACGCCCUUCGGGGCUUCUUGGUGAUUCAUGAUAACUUCACGGAUCGCAUGGCCUUGCGCCGGCGACGGUUCAUUCAAAUUUCUGCCCUAUCAACUUUCGAUGGUAAGGUAUUGGCUUACCAUGGUUUCAACGGGUAACGGGGAAUUAGGGUUCGAUUCCGGAGAGGGAGCCUGAGAAACGGCUACCACAUCCAAGGAAGGCAGCAGGCGCGCAAAUUACCCAAUCCCGACACGGGGAGGUAGUGACAAUAAAUACUGAUACAGGGCUCUUUUGGGUCUUGUAAUUGGAAUGAGUACAAUUUAAACCUCUUAACGAGGAACAAUUGGAGGGCAAGUCUGGUGCCAGCAGCCGCGGUAAUUCCAGCUCCAAUAGCGUAUAUUAAAGUUGUUGCAGUUAAAAAGCUCGUAGUUGAAACUUGGGCCUGGCUGGCAGGUCCGCCUCACCGCGUGUACUUGUCCGGCCGGGCCUUUCCUUCUGGAGAACCUCAUGCCCUUCACUGGGUGUGUUGGGGAACCAGGACUUUUACUUUGAAAAAAUUAGAGUGUUCAAAGCAGGCCUUUGCUCGAAUACGUUAGCAUGGAAUAAUAGAAUAGGACGUGCGGUCCUAUUUUGUUGGUUUCUAGGACCGCCGUAAUGAUUAAUAGGGACAGUCGGGGGCAUCAGUAUUCAAUUGUCAGAGGUGAAAUUCUUGGAUUUAUUGAAGACUAACUACUGCGAAAGCAUUUGCCAAGGAUGUUUUCAUUAAUCAGUGAACGAAAGUUAGGGGAUCGAAGACGAUCAGAUACCGUCGUAGUCUUAACCGUAAACUAUGCCGACUAGGGAUCGGGCGAUGUUCUUUUUCUGACUCGCUCGGCACCUUACGAGAAA
RNAcentral lists this ribosomal RNA (1015 nucleotides) under Didymella chromolaenae. RNAcentral's name for it is "SSU rRNA". It matches the Rfam family "Eukaryotic small subunit ribosomal RNA", at positions 74 to 1097 of the family's 1831-position model. Lineage: Eukaryota; Fungi; Ascomycota; Dothideomycetes; Pleosporales; Didymellaceae. The record is from RNAcentral.